This 327-nucleotide ribosomal RNA is filed under the name uncultured eukaryote. RNAcentral's name for it is "partial 18S ribosomal RNA". It matches the Rfam family "Eukaryotic small subunit ribosomal RNA", at positions 1470 to 1796 of the family's 1831-position model. The record is from RNAcentral.
CCCUUAGAUGUUCUGGGCCGCACGCGCGCUACACUGACGAAUGCAACGAGCUUAUAACCUUGGCCGAAAGGUCUGGGUAAUCUCCAAAUUUCGUCGUGAUGGGGAUAGAUUAUUGCAAUUAUUAAUCUUCAACGAGGAAUGCCUAGUAAGCGCAAGUCAUCAGCUUGCGUUGAUUACGUCCCUGCCCUUUGUACACACCGCCCGUCGCUCCUACCGAUUGAAUGGUCCGGUGAAGCGUUCGGACCGUGGCCUUUGGACGGUUCGGCGUCUGUUGGCUGCGGGAAGUUCGUUAAACCUUAUCAUUUAGAGGAAGGAGAAGUCGUAACA